RNAcentral lists this unclassified non-coding RNA (364 nucleotides) under plant metagenome. RNAcentral describes it as "partial contains 5.8S ribosomal RNA, internal transcribed spacer 2, and large subunit ribosomal RNA". The stretch from base 1 to 104 matches the Rfam family "5.8S ribosomal RNA", at positions 51 to 154 of the family's 154-position model. The record is from RNAcentral.
AAAUGCGAUAAGUAAUGUGAAUUGCAGAAUUCAGUGAAUCAUCGAAUCUUUGAACGCACAUUGCGCCCGCUGGUAUUCCGGCGGGCAUGCCUGUUCGAGCGUCAUUUGAAGCCCCUCGGCGGCCCGGGUUCUCUUUUGUACUCGCGCCGCCGGCGUUGGCGCUCCGCUUGGCCCCCUUGCUUGUGGGCCAGGCGGGCUGCCCAAAUGCAGCGGCGGACCGUUCCGGGCCUCCCAGCGCAGUAGCAAUAGCCUCGCUGCGGAAGGAAGGAACGGCUUCUGGCCCACAUUCGUCGACGUUUUUUUGUCGUCGACCUUUCCAAGAGCUUGACCUCGGAUCAGGUAGGAUUACCCGCUGAACUUAAGC